RNAcentral lists this ribosomal RNA (463 nucleotides) under uncultured bacterium. RNAcentral describes it as "partial 16S ribosomal RNA". It matches the Rfam family "Bacterial small subunit ribosomal RNA", at positions 28 to 507 of the family's 1533-position model. The record is from RNAcentral.
GACGAACGCUGGCGGCACGCCUAACACAUGCAAGUCGAACGGACUUACAAGAGCUUGCUUUUUUAAGUUAGUGGCGGACGGGUGAGUAACACGUGAGCAAACUGCCUCUGAGAGGGGGAUAGCUUCUGGAAACGGAUGGUCAUACCCCAUAAAAUAUAAAUAUCGCAUGAUAGAUAUAUCAAAGAAAUUCGCUCAGAGAUGGGCUCGCGUCUGAUUAGAUAGUUGGUGAGGUAACGGCUCACCAAGUCGACGAUCAGUAGCCUGACUGAGAGGUUGAACGGCCACAUUGAGACUGAGACACGGCCCAGACUCCUACGGGAGGCAGCAGUGGGGAAUAUUGCACAAUGGAGUGAACUCUGAUGCAGCGAUGCCGCGUGGAGGAAGAAGGUUUUCGGAUUGUAAAGUCCUUGUAUCAGGGACGAUAAUGACGGUACCUGAAGAAAAAGCUCCGGCUAACUACGUG